UACGUAGGGGGCAAGCGUUGUCCGGAUUUAUUGGGCGUAAAGAGCGUGUAGGCGGCCAUGUAGGUCUGCUGUGAAAACUCGAGGCUUAACCUCGAGAUGUCGGCGGAAACCAUCUGGCUAGAGUCCGGAAGAGGAGAGCGGAAUUCCUGGUGUAGCGGUGAAAUGCGCAGAUAUCAGGAGGAACACCCGUGGCGAAGGCGGCUCUCUGGGACGGUACUGACGCUGAGACGCGAAAGCGUGGGGAGCGAACAGG
RNAcentral lists this ribosomal RNA (253 nucleotides) under uncultured bacterium. Its description in RNAcentral is "partial 16S ribosomal RNA". It matches the Rfam family "Bacterial small subunit ribosomal RNA", at positions 524 to 776 of the family's 1533-position model. The record is from RNAcentral.